This 253-nucleotide ribosomal RNA is filed under the name uncultured bacterium. Its description in RNAcentral is "partial 16S ribosomal RNA". It matches the Rfam family "Bacterial small subunit ribosomal RNA", at positions 80 to 334 of the family's 1533-position model. The record is from RNAcentral.
UAGUGAAGAUGGCGACCGGCGCACGGGUGAGUAACACGUAUCCAACCUGCCGAUAACUCGGGGAUAGCCUUUCGAAAGAAAGAUUAAUAUCCGAUAGUAUAUUAAAACCGCAUGGUUUUACUAUUAAAGAAUUUCGGUUAUCGAUGGGGAUGCGUUCCAUUAGGCAGUUGGUGAGGUAACGGCUCACCAAACCUUCGAUGGAUAGGGGUUCUGAGAGGAAGGUCCCCCACAUUGGAACUGAGACACGGUCCAA